GUCGAGCGGUAAGGCCCUUCGGGGUACACGAGCGGCGAACGGGUGAGUAACACGUGGGUGAUCUGCCUUGCACUUCGGGAUAAGCCUGGGAAACUGGGUCUAAUACCGGAUAUGACCUUCCAGUGCAUGCUGGUUGGUGGAAAGAUUUAUCGGUGCGAGAUGGGCCCGCGGCCUAUCAGCUUGUUGGUGAGGUAACGGCUCACCAAGGCGACGACGGGUAGCCGACCUGAGAGGGUGACCGGCCACACUGGGACUGAGACACGGCCCAGACUCCUACGGGAGGCAGCAGUGGGGAAUAUUGCACAAUGGGCGAAAGCCUGAUGCAGCGACGCCGCGUGCGGGAUGACGGCCUUCGGGUUGUAAACCGCUUUUGACAGGGACGAAGCGCGAGUGACUGUACCUGUAGAAUAAGGACCGGCCAACUACGUGCCAGCAGCCGCGGUAAUACGUAGGGUCCGAGCGUUGUCCGGAAUUACUGGGCGUAAAGAGCUUGUAGGCGGUUCGUCGCGUCGUUUGUGAAAACUUGGGGCUCAACCUUAAGCUUGCAGGCGAUACGGGCGGACUAGAGUACUUCAGGGGAGACUGGAAUUCCUGGUGUAGCGGUGAAAUGCGCAGAUAUCAGGAGGAACACCGGUGGCGAAGGCGGGUCUCUGGGAAGUAACUGACGCUGAGAAGCGAAAGCAUGGGUAGCAAACAGGAUUAGAUACCCUGGUAGUCCAUGCCGUAAACGGUGGGUACUAGGUGUGGGGCUCCUUCCACGGACUCCGUGCCGUAGCUAACGCAUUAAGUACCCCGCCUGGGGAGUACGGCCGCAAGGCUAAAACUCAAAGAAAUUGACGGGGGCCCGCACAAGCGGCGGAGCAUGUGGAUUAAUUCGAUGCAACGCGAAGAACCUUACCUGGGUUUGACAUACACCAGAAAGCGGCAGAGAUGUGGCCCCCCUUGUGGUUGGUGUACAGGUGGUGCAUGGCUGUCGUCAGCUCGUGUCGUGAGAUGUUGGGUUAAGUCCCGCAACGAGCGCAACCCUUAUCUUAUGUUGCCAGCGCGUAAUGGCGGGGACUCGUGAGAGACUGCCGGGGUCAACUCGGAGGAAGGUGGGGACGACGUCAAGUCAUCAUGCCCCUUAUGUCCAGGGCUUCACACAUGCUACAAUGGCCGGUACAGAGGGCUGCGAUACCGUGAGGUGGAGCGAAUCCCUUAAAGCCGGUCUCAGUUCGGAUCGGGGUCUGCAACUCGACCCCGUGAAGUUGGAGUCGCUAGUAAUCGCAGAUCAGCAACGCUGCGGUGAAUACGUUCCCGGGCCUUGUACACACCGCCCGUCACGUCAUGAAAGUCGGUAACACCCGAAGCCGGUGGCCUAACCCCUUGUGGGAGGGAGCCGU
RNAcentral lists this ribosomal RNA (1382 nucleotides) under Nocardia coubleae. RNAcentral's name for it is "bacterial SSU rRNA". It matches the Rfam family "Bacterial small subunit ribosomal RNA". The record is from RNAcentral. Lineage: Bacteria; Bacillati; Actinomycetota; Actinomycetes; Mycobacteriales; Nocardiaceae.